UAGGGAAUCUUGCGCAAUGGGCGAAAGCCUGACGCAGCAACGCCGCGUGGGGGAUGAAGGCCCUCGGGUUGUAAACCCCUUUCAGCAGGAACGAAUCUGACGGUGCCUGCAGAAGAAGGCCCGGCUAACUACGUGCCAGCAGCCGCGGUAACACGUAGGGGCCAAGCGUUGUCCGGAUUCAUUGGGCGUAAAGAGCUCGUAGGCGGUUCAGUUAGUCGGGUGUGAAAUCUCCGGGCUCAACUCGGAGGGGCCACCCGAUACUGCUGUGACUCGAGUCCGGUAGGGGAGUGGGGAAUUCCUGGUGUAGCGGUGAAAUGCGCAGAUAUCAGGAGGAACACCGGUGGCGAAGGCGCCACUCUGGGCCGGUACUGACGCUGAGGAGCGAAAGCGUGGGGAGCAAACAGG
RNAcentral lists this ribosomal RNA (405 nucleotides) under bacterium. Its description in RNAcentral is "partial 16S ribosomal RNA". It matches the Rfam family "Bacterial small subunit ribosomal RNA", at positions 355 to 776 of the family's 1533-position model. The record is from RNAcentral.